UUUCGAUGCAACGCGAAGAACCUUACCUGGUCUUGACAUCCCGGAGACCCUUAGGAAACUAGGGGUGCUUCCAUCUGGAAGAAUCUGGAGACAGGUGCUGCAUGGCUGUCGUCAGCUCGUGUCGUGAGAUGUUGGGUUAAGUCCCGCAACGAGCGCAACCCUUGCCUUUAGUUGCCAGCAGUUCGGCUGGGCACUCUAAAGGGACUGCCGGUGUUAAACCGGAGGAAGGUGGGGAUGACGUCAAGUCCUCAUGGCCCUUAUGACCAGGGCUACACACGUACUACAAUGGCCGAUACAAAGGGCAGCGACACUGAGCGGAUCCCUUGAAAGCCGGUCCCAGUUCGGAUUGCAGUCUGCAACUCGACUGCAUGAAGUUGGAAUCGCUAGUAAUCGCGGAUCAGCCAAGCCGCGGUGAAUACGCUCCCGGGCCUU
RNAcentral lists this ribosomal RNA (432 nucleotides) under uncultured Desulfobulbus sp. Its description in RNAcentral is "bacterial SSU rRNA". It matches the Rfam family "Bacterial small subunit ribosomal RNA", at positions 949 to 1382 of the family's 1533-position model. The record is from RNAcentral. Lineage: Bacteria; Pseudomonadati; Thermodesulfobacteriota; Desulfobulbia; Desulfobulbales; Desulfobulbaceae.